UACGUAGGGGGCUAGCGUUGUCCGGAAUCAUUGGGCGUAAAGCGCGCGUAGGCGGCCAGAUAAGUCCGGUGUGAAAGCCACAGGCUCAACCUGUGAAUGCCGCUGGAAACUGUCUGGCUAGAGUCCGGGAGGGGCGAGUGGAAUUCCUGGUGUAGCGGUGAAAUGCGCAGAUAUCAGGAGGAACACCAAUGGCGAAGGCAGCUCGCUGGAACGGAACUGACGCUGAGGCGCGAAAGCGUGGGGAGCGAACAGG
This 253-nucleotide ribosomal RNA is filed under the name uncultured bacterium. RNAcentral's name for it is "partial 16S ribosomal RNA". It matches the Rfam family "Bacterial small subunit ribosomal RNA", at positions 524 to 776 of the family's 1533-position model. The record is from RNAcentral.